RNAcentral lists this small RNA (114 nucleotides) under Marmota monax (woodchuck). The record is from RNAcentral. Lineage: Eukaryota; Metazoa; Chordata; Mammalia; Rodentia; Sciuridae.
ACCAGGCACGUGGCAUGUGCCUGUGGUCCCAGCUACUCAGGAAGCUCAGGCGGAGGGAUCACUUGAGCCUAGGAGUUUGAGACCAGCCAGGGCAACACAGUGAGACUCUGUCUU